Molecule: transfer RNA, 73 nt
Filed under: Candidatus Falkowbacteria bacterium RIFOXYA2_FULL_47_19
Lineage: Bacteria; Candidatus Falkowiibacteriota
Also listed under: 3 other names
Description: tRNA-Thr
Rfam family: tRNA
About the family: Transfer RNA (tRNA) molecules are approximately 80 nucleotides in length. Their secondary structure includes four short double-helical elements and three loops (D, anti-codon, and T loops).
Source: RNAcentral
GCCGGAGUAGCUCAGUUGGUAGAGCAAUGCUUUCGUAAAGCAGAGGUCACGAGUUCAAGUCUCGUCUCCGGCU